Molecule: ribosomal RNA, 611 nt
Filed under: uncultured rumen bacterium
Lineage: Bacteria
Description: bacterial SSU rRNA
Rfam family: Bacterial small subunit ribosomal RNA
Source: RNAcentral
ACCCUGGUAGUCCGCACGGUAAACGAUGGAUGCCCGCUGUUUGCGAUAUACUGUGAGCGGGCCAAGAGAAAUCGUUAAGCAUCCCACCUGGGGAGUACGCCGGCAACGGUGAAACUCAAAGGAAUUGACGGGGGCCCGCACAAGCGGAGGAACAUGUGGUUUAAUUCGAUGAUACGCGAGGAACCUUACCCGGGCUUGAACUGCCAGUGAACGAUACAGAGAUGUUGAGGCCCUUCGGGGCGCUGGUGGAGGUGCUGCAUGGUUGUCGUCAGACUCGUGCCGUGAGGUGUCGGCUUAAGUGCCAUAACGAGCGCAACCCUUUUCAUUAGUUGCCAUCAGGUAAAGCUGGGCACUACUAGGUGAUACUGCCACCGUAAGGUGUGAGGAAGGUGGGGAUGACGUCAAAUCAGCACGGCCCUUACGUCCGGGGCUACACACGUGUUACAAUGGGAGGUACAGAGAGUCGGUGCAUGGCAAUAUGCAUCUAAUCCUAAAAGCCUUCCUCAGUUCGGAAUUGGGGUCUGCAACCCGACCCCAUGAAGCUGGAUUCGCUAGUAAUCGCGCAUCAGCCAUGGCGCGGUGAUUACGUUCCCGGGCCUUGUACACACCGC